RNAcentral lists this ribosomal RNA (575 nucleotides) under uncultured bacterium. RNAcentral's name for it is "bacterial SSU rRNA". It matches the Rfam family "Bacterial small subunit ribosomal RNA", at positions 55 to 626 of the family's 1533-position model. The record is from RNAcentral.
AUGCAAGUCGAACGGUAACAUUUCUAGCUUGCUAGAAGAUGACGAGUGGCGGACGGGUGAGUAAUGCUCGGGAACUUGCCUUUGCGAGGGGGAUAACAGUUGGAAACGACUGCUAAUACCGCAUAAUGUCUUCGGACCAAACGGGGCUUUUAGCUCCGGCGCAAAGAGAGGCCCAAGUGAGAUUAGCUAGUUGGUAAGGUAACGGCUUACCAAGGCGACGAUCUCUAGCUGUUCUGAGAGGAAGAUCAGCCACACUGGGACUGAGACACGGCCCAGACUCCUACGGGAGGCAGCAGUGGGGAAUAUUGCACAAUGGGGGAAACCCUGAUGCAGCCAUGCCGCGUGUGUGAAGAAGGCCUUCGGGUUGUAAAGCACUUUCAGUUGUGAGGAAAAGUUAGUAGUUAAUACCUGCUAGCCGUGACGUUAACAACAGAAGAAGCACCGGCUAACUCCGUGCCAGCAGCCGCGGUAAUACGGAGGGUGCGAGCGUUAAUCGGAAUUACUGGGCGUAAAGCGCACGCAGGCGGUUUGUUAAGCUAUAUGUGAAAGCCCCGGGCUCAACCUGGGAUGGUCAU